UACGUAGGGGGCAAGCGUUGUCCGGAAUCAUUGGGCGUAAAGAGCGUGUAGGCGGCUCGGUAAGUCCGCUGUGAAAGUCCAGGGCUCAACCCUGGAAUGCCGGUGGAAACUGUCGAGCUAGAGUCCGGAAGAGGCGAGUGGAAUUCCUGGUGUAGCGGUGAAAUGCGUAGAUAUCGGAAGGAACACCUGUGGCGAAAGCGGCUCACUGGACCAUUACUGACGCUGAGGCACGAAAGUUAGGGGAGCAAACAGG
Molecule: ribosomal RNA, 253 nt
Filed under: uncultured bacterium
Lineage: Bacteria
Description: partial 16S ribosomal RNA
Rfam family: Bacterial small subunit ribosomal RNA
Source: RNAcentral